UGGGGAAUAUUGGACAAUGGGCGAAAGCCUGAUCCAGCCAUGCCGCGUGUGUGAAGAAGGUCUUCGGAUUGUAAAGCACUUUAAGUUGGGAGGAAGGGCAGUAAGCGAAUACCUUGCUGUUUUGACGUUACCGACAGAAUAAGCACCGGCUAACUCUGUGCCAGCAGCCGCGGUAAUACAGAGGGUGCAAGCGUUAAUCGGAAUUACUGGGCGUAAAGCGCGCGUAGGUGGUUCGUUAAGUUGAAUGUGAAAGCCCCGGGCUCAACCUGGGAACUGCAUCCAAAACUGGGGAGCUAGAGUAGGGCAGAGGGUGGUGGAAUUUCCUGUGUAGCGGUGAAAUGCGUAGAUAUAGGAAGGAACACCAGUGGCGAAGGCGACCACCUGGGCUCAUACUGACACUGAGGUGCGAAAGCGUGGGGAGCAAACAGG
This 429-nucleotide ribosomal RNA is filed under the name Pseudomonadota bacterium. RNAcentral describes it as "Proteobacteria bacterium partial 16S ribosomal RNA". It matches the Rfam family "Bacterial small subunit ribosomal RNA", at positions 355 to 776 of the family's 1533-position model. Lineage: Bacteria; Pseudomonadati; Pseudomonadota. The record is from RNAcentral.